RNAcentral lists this ribosomal RNA (460 nucleotides) under uncultured bacterium. Its description in RNAcentral is "partial 16S ribosomal RNA". It matches the Rfam family "Bacterial small subunit ribosomal RNA", at positions 338 to 795 of the family's 1533-position model. The record is from RNAcentral.
CCUACGGGAGGCAGCAGUGAGGAAUAUUGGUCAAUGGACGCAAGUCUGAACCAGCCAUGCCGCGUGCAGGAAGACGGCUCUAUGAGUUGUAAACUGCUUUUGUACGAGGGUAAAUCCCGAUACGUGUAUCGUGUUGAAAGUAUCGUACGAAUAAGGAUCGGCUAACGCCGUGCCAGCAGCCGCGGUAAUACGGAGGAUUCAAGCGUUAUCCGGAUUUAUUGGGUUUAAAGGGUGCGUAGGUGGUUCGUGAAGUUAGAGGUGAAAGCCCGGGGCUCAACACCGGCACUGCCUCUGAUACUGUCGAGCUAGAGUUUAGUUGCGGUAGGCGGAAUUUAUGGUGUAGCGGUGAAAUGCAUAGAGAUCAUACAGAACACCGAUUGCGAAGGCAGCUUACUAAACUACGACUGACGUUGAGGCACGAAAGCGUGGGGAGCAAACAGGAUUAGAUACCCUAGUAGUC